Molecule: non-coding RNA, 433 nt
Organism: Pelobates cultripes (western spadefoot toad)
Lineage: Eukaryota; Metazoa; Chordata; Amphibia; Anura; Pelobatidae
Source: the annotation of a GenBank genome assembly
CACCUUUGCAGAAAAGGAACGGUGGUAAUCGUAAAAAGUGGUACCACCGUAUUUGUGCCCCAGGUCCACCAUUUUGUGCAUGUAUGCAUCCAGCUCUGCUCUUUCCCCCGGGUAUACUGAGCAGUAAACAUCCCUAUAGAUCCCAAAACCUAGUACAAAUUCAGAUAUGGUCAAUUUUUUGUUCAGCCUCGGAUCGCUUGCCCUUAGUACGACUGAUAUAUCCCCAUAUGCAAAUGUCCUGUUCUCUAGGACAUCCUGGGAGGCUAUAAGCAAUGAAACCAGGUUUACAUCCUUGCCUUCCAGAAUGUCCUUUUUAAGGUGAGAUGGGACCAUGUGCGAAGGAUUAAUGUCUUCAAUUAUUGAUAUGGAUUCCAAUGAAUUACCAGGUAUGUCAACGAGAGGGUGACUGGCAACAAUUGGGUUUGUAGCGGUC